Molecule: transfer RNA, 74 nt
Filed under: Heterocephalus glaber (naked mole-rat)
Lineage: Eukaryota; Metazoa; Chordata; Mammalia; Rodentia; Bathyergidae
Rfam family: tRNA
About the family: Transfer RNA (tRNA) molecules are approximately 80 nucleotides in length.
Source: Rfam by way of RNAcentral
GGGGUUGUAGCUCAGUGGUAAAAAGUUUGUGCUUAGCAUGUACAAAGUCCUGAGUUCAAUGCUCAGCACACACA